GACCAACUGGGUAGGACAGCUGGGCUGGGGACAAUUAAGCUCUGUUCACGUUCAGAGAAGAAUCAGGCUGUGCUAGCGGCAUAAUUAGCAUUGUGCUCAGAGGAACUGCCGCCCAUUGGAGGAGCAGACAGGCCUGGGCUGAGAAAAGGGCCUGGGGCUGCCCGGGGUGUCAGCAGGGAUUUGGUCUAAGGAUGCAUCCUGUCCCUAUCUGCCGCUGGCUUUUGCUGAAGAUUCUCUGUGCUAGGCAUGCCUUUUCCCAUUUUGGCUCCACUGACCAGAUCCCUUGAGACCAACUGCAAGAGCCUCCUCCAGGAAGCCUUCCCUGAUCUUCUACGACCUCUGUAGCCAGAAGACUCACCACUCCCAGCCUGGGGCAACUGUUGCUUCUACCUAGUUCUAGGUCUCCUCUAGCAUCUACCUAGAUUAGCUUUUCUUCAUAUUGCUCACACAGGAACUUGGGUCUGCCUAGCCCUCUUGGAAGACCUGAAGAUUGGAUUUGAAAGAAGGCAUGGCUUCCUGCUGGCUGGGGUGAGGCCACUUGGAAGGGCCUCUGUUUCCCAGAUGCAGCCCCCCAGCGAUAUAAAGCCUUGGAGCACAGCAAGUCCUGCAUCCAACUUCUGCAGGGAGCCUGAGGGGGUAGUAACAACUUUUCAUUCAUUCACUUGUUCAACAAGGAGGCACAGAUCCUGGACUCGUGGAUUUAUGAGUCUGGGAGGGAAGACAGGUGGUGCAUAAGCAGGUCAGCAUUUGGAACAGGCUGUAAAGUGAGACUGGCUGGAUUCUAACCCUGACUCAGCUGCCUCGCUGGUCAUGUUGCGCAAUACAGGCGACCUCUCUGUGUCUCAGUUUCCCUACCUGUGAAGUAGGAUAGUAAGAUUACCUCCCGCCAAGGGUAGCUGCAAGGGUUAAAGAAGAUGAUGUGGAAUAUUUAGGAUGAGCUCAGUCAGUGGUGGCUCUUGUUACUGAGUGAGCUGCAAGUGGCACAGCAGAGGGUGGGUGGGGUCAGUGAUGGAGAGGAGAGGAGGCUCAGGGACAGCUUCCUGGGAAGAAAGCUUUGAAGGUACAGCCAGGAGAGUGGGGUGAGGAGAGGAAAGGAGGGAAGGACACUGUGGACAGGGAGGAAGGUGAGCCUGGAGUGCUGAGAGAGGGCGGCAGGGUGAGGCUGAGCCCAGUUAGAAGGCUGGUGGAGAAUUCAGGGGAAAGGAGACAGUGGCCUAACCGAGUCGUGGAGAGGGAGAAAAGUGGUGGCCAGACUCAAAAAUCUGCAAGAGCUGCUGCUCACAGACCCUGGGAACUGGCAGCAGGGUCGGGGUUCGUGUGAGUCAGGCAUGGCCUCGGGUCUGUAGCCAGCACAGCCUGGAGGUCCUCUGCUGGGAGGAGGUGCAGGCUUGGGGAGCAGAAGACGGGUUCCACUAGGACCCUUAGAGUUUGAGGGGCCGGUGGGCAGGCCGGGGGAGGUGUCAGGGAGAUGUGCCCACGACUGGAGAUGCAGAUCUGGAGUUUGUGCAGGUCACAUUUGGGGGCUGCUGCUGUCCUUGAUUCUGCCUGUGACCCACACAGGCUUCGGGUCCUGUCCUGGGGGCCCCACCCUGGCUCCUGGCCAGCCGUCGCUGCCUGUUCCCUGGCAAAUCCCUCUACCUCUCCAUGUGUCUGGUUAAGGGGCCAUCCAAUCAGUGAAGCUUUGGAGAAGGCCAUAAAGGUGAACACAGCGCCUGAGGGAAGGCUCCUACACUAAACUCUGGCAUUGGCCCUGAGGGAGACAGAGGUUUUGGGGUCACGCACAUACCUUGAGCCACCCAAGUGUGUGCAGCUACAGCCUCAAGCACAGACAUGCUGUCUGUGUUGUGCUUUCUAUGUAGCUUGAAAGGGGACUCGUUUCGGGGGGACACAAAAAUCCAUCUUUAUGUUUCCUCAGAUUUUCUCCAGCACCUGCCUGUGCAAGCGCCCAGGUGAGACAUGGUCCAGGUGGGCCGGUGCCGAGAGGCUUAUGUGAGGCCUGGGCCGCCCAACGCGCUCAGCUCGGAGGGCACUGGCUUGGGAAGGCGGGGCACCUGCCUUCCCACAGGCAUUCACCCGGGAUGAAAGUUCAGUGCAGGCUCCAGUUCCUAUGUGAGUGUCCCCCCAGCCCACGGGCUGUGGAUGUGCUGGGUGUUGGGAGAGAUGCAGGAGGAACAAGCAGGUGCUUCUCCGGCCCAGACCUCGGCCCUCCCCAGCGCUCAAGGUGCUCCUCCUCCUCUGAGUUCCUGCAUCGCUGAGAAUUUGGACUCCGGAUGUGACAUGAGCAGCAGCCUUGGUGGCCUCUGAGUGGGGAAGUGUGCCAGGCCCCUGCUAAGUGCUUGGUGAGCCUUAAACAGCCUUGUCCUCGCCCCCACCCUGUAGGCAGGUGCCAAUGUCCCCUUGCUCUAGGGAGGGGCUCUGGUGAGCACGGGGACGAGGAUUUGGAUCUGAGGCCAUGAGGUUCUUGUUCCUCCCAUUACCAAUGUGUGUAUGGGAGUCCCCGGGAAAGAGGUCCCCAGCUGGGGGUCCCCAGCCCCUGGGCAUUGCCCACCCAUGGCUUGGAUGGGAGACAGGAGGAGCAAGAAGAGAUCCCCAAUCCUUGGCAGCUGGCAAUCUCUGGGCUUCACUCAUUUGCCCCCAGGCCAGGCAGUGCAGGCUUCACUGUCAAACCCUGGCUGCCUCAGCUCCCUGCCCUUCCCCUCUCCUUAACAGCCCAAACGUGGGUAGGACGCAGGACUAGUAGCUGACAAUUUCCCAGGGUGUCCCAGUGGCCCUGGUGGGUGGGGGGCUUGCUGGGAAGGGAUAAUGACCGACAGCUCCCACACCAGUCCUCUCUCCGGACCUGGUCCAACAUGUCCCACUUGAUCCUCACAUAGCCCCAUUGCUGCUUUACAGGCCACGCCGGAGGGUGGAGAUCAGAUAAUCUCCAGUAUGCCCAAGGCCACUCAGGGGGGUCAGGGAGCUGAUUCCCAAAUCCAGGAAUCUGUCUGAAAAGUUUGGUGCUCCCUUCUGCACUGCUCUUAUAGACGUGGGAUCCUUCAGCUUUCGCGGGAGCAUGGAUCCUUUUGAGGAUCCUGAUGAAAAUCUGCACCUCUCCCAGAAAAAUGCACCUCUACACAGGUUCACAGACAUCUGCAUACAAUUUCAGGGUUCUCAGACCCUGAAAGCCACCAAGGACCCCAAGUACAUAAGCCUUACACAGCACAACCUAAAUUGUCAAUGGCAGUGUCUCAGGAGGGCAGGACAGUGACCACCUCUGUGAGGCCAUCAGCACAGCUAUGGCUGCACAUGCUGUCUGAAGGAUCAGGUGGCCUUUUCCUGUGGCUUUUGAGGCUGAGGCUGAGUACCCUUGUGGCGGAUGCAUAACGCCAGGAUGGCCAAUAAAGACACCAUAAAAGUUCCCAACCGUGUGCCUGACACUGGACAGAUUUAAUCUCCAGGUCUUCUGGGAACCCCGCAGAGUUAGGGGUUGUUUUCUCAUUUUACUGAUGGAGACUGAGGCUUACGGAAGAGAAUUUGUUUCAAGUCCCCGCCAGUACUAUGAACAUGGGAUUUGAAAUCAUGCAAGUCUGACAUGCAGACCUCGGUUCUUUCUAUUUUCCCUUCUCACGGAGGGGGCUUUGUGCUUCCUGGAGGCCGACAGGGAGUUUCUCUAACGUAGGUUGGAGUGGUCAGAAGGGAGCGAACUGACAGCACGAGGAAGGCUCAGCGCAAGCCAGCUCCAUUCAUGGGAAGUGACUCACUGCAGCCCUGCCGCUCUCGGGCUCCAGGGGACACAUACACAUUUCCUGUGUCUCGGCCAGGGCCUUGGGCAGUGUGAGCUGGCAGGGCAGAUCGCUGAAGGCGGCUAGAGAUACAAAACCACCCAGCUCUGCAUUCUGAGACAAAGAAGCCUCUCCCUGGGCUCAUAUGACAGAGCUAUGUUGCCUCUGGACCUCAGUUUUGCUGUCUGUAAAAUGGGGAGAAGGUCAGACUAGAUUGGGCAUAUUCAGUGUGGGAUCCCCCUAAGGACAGCAACAGCGGCACCUGGGAAACUGCAAAUUCUCCUUUAUGACAGUGGCUCUCAAACUUUAACAUGCAUCAGAAUCAUCUAGAGGGUAGUUUCUCACUCGAGAACCACAUAGUGAGAUCAGGGAUCCGUGAACUACAGUCCACAGGCCAAAUCUGCUUUUUAUGGUCCAUGAGCUAAGAAUAGUUUUUCCAUUUUUCAGUGGUUGGGGAAAAAAAAAUCAAAGAAGAAUAU
Sapajus apella (tufted capuchin) is the source of this 4240-nucleotide long non-coding RNA. RefSeq lists it as uncharacterized. The transcript has 4 exons. The record is from RefSeq and is a predicted model, not a curated record. Lineage: Eukaryota; Metazoa; Chordata; Mammalia; Primates; Cebidae.